AAUCAACGCUGGCGGCGUGCCUAACACAUGCAAGUCGCACGAGAAAGGGUCUUCGGAUCUGAGUAAAGUGGCGCACGGGUGAGUAACACGUGACUAAUCUACCCUCGAGUGGGGAAUAACCUAGGGAAACCUGGGCUAAUACCGCAUAACACUUACGAGUCAAAGCAGCAAUGCGCUUGGGGAGGAGGUCGCGGCAGAUUAGCUAGUUGGUGGGGUAAUGGCCCACCAAGGCGAUGAUCUGUAUCCGGCCUGAGAGGGCGCACGGACACACUGGAACUGAAACACGGUCCAGACUCCUACGGGAGGCAGCAGUGGGGAAUUUUGCGCAAUGGGGGAAACCCUGACGCAGCAACGCCGCGUGGAGGAUGAAGUCGUCUUGGGACGUAAACUCCUUUCGACAGGGACGAUAAUGACGGUACCUGUAGAAGAAGCCCCGGCUAACUUCGUGCCAGCAGCCGCAGUAAC
This 465-nucleotide ribosomal RNA is filed under the name uncultured bacterium. RNAcentral describes it as "bacterial SSU rRNA". It matches the Rfam family "Bacterial small subunit ribosomal RNA", at positions 32 to 524 of the family's 1533-position model. The record is from RNAcentral.